Hypoxylon fuscum is the source of this 72-nucleotide non-coding RNA. The record is from the annotation of a GenBank genome assembly. Lineage: Eukaryota; Fungi; Ascomycota; Sordariomycetes; Xylariales; Hypoxylaceae.
AUCUCGAUUAGUUCAAUGGUAGAAUGCGGGUAUGCCACGCCCGAGGCUGGGGUUCGAUUCCCCGUCGGGAUU